GAUUAUGGCUCAGGAUGAACGCUAGCGGCAGGCUUAACACAUGCAAGUCGAGGGGCAUCGGGAGUAGCAAUACUUGCCGGCGACCGGCGCAAGGGUGCGUAACGCGUGAGCAACAUGCCCGUAUCAGGGGGAUAAUCCAUGGAAACGUGGUCUAAUACCCCAUAGUAAUUAUGUAAGGCAUCUUAUAUAAUUUAAAGCUUUGGUGGAUACGGAUUGGCUCGCGUGACAUUAGCUGGAUGGUAAGGUAACGGCUUACCAUGGCGACGAUCGAUAGCCGGACUGAGAGGUCGACCGGCCACAUUGGGACUGAGACACGGCCCAGACUCCUACGGGAGGCAGCAGUGGGGAAUAUUGCACAAUGGGGGAAACCCUGAUGCAGCGACGCCGCGUGAGUGAAGAAGUAUUUCGGUAUGUAAAGCUCUUUUAGCAGGGAAGAUGAUGACGGUACCUGCAGAAAAAGCCCCGGCUAAAUACGUGCCAGCAGCCGC
RNAcentral lists this ribosomal RNA (488 nucleotides) under uncultured bacterium. RNAcentral's name for it is "bacterial SSU rRNA". It matches the Rfam family "Bacterial small subunit ribosomal RNA", at positions 15 to 518 of the family's 1533-position model. The record is from RNAcentral.